RNAcentral lists this ribosomal RNA (405 nucleotides) under uncultured bacterium. RNAcentral describes it as "bacterial SSU rRNA". It matches the Rfam family "Bacterial small subunit ribosomal RNA", at positions 355 to 776 of the family's 1533-position model. The record is from RNAcentral.
UUGGGAAUUUUGCACAAUGGAGGCAACUCUGAUGCAGCAACACUGCGUGAAGGAUGAAGGUUUUCGGAUUGUAAACUUCUUUUAUCAGGGAAUAAUCUUGAAGGUACCUGAUGAAUAAGCACCGGCUAACUACGUGCCAGCAGCCGCGGUAAUACGUAGGGUGCAAACGUUAUCCGGAUUUAUUGGGCGUAAAGAGCUCGUAGGUGGUUUUGUAAGUUGAAUAUUAAAUCUUCCGGCUCAACCGGGAAACCGUAUUCAAAACUGCAAGACUAGAGGUAUGUAGGGGCAGAUGGAACUUACGGUGUAGCGGUAAAAUGCGUAGAUAUCGUAAGGAACGCCGAUGGUGAAGACGAUCUGCUGGACAUCACCUGACACUGAGGAGCGAAAGCGUGGGUAGCGAUCGGG